This 450-nucleotide ribosomal RNA is filed under the name uncultured bacterium. Its description in RNAcentral is "partial 16S ribosomal RNA". It matches the Rfam family "Bacterial small subunit ribosomal RNA", at positions 354 to 796 of the family's 1533-position model. The record is from RNAcentral.
GUAGGGAAUAUUGGGCAAUGGAGGCAACUCUGACCCAGCCAUGCCGCGUGCAGGAUGAAGGCCCUCGGGUUGUAAACUGCUUUUGUACGGAACGAAAAGCCUGGGGCUAAUAUCCCCGGGUCAUGACGGUACCGUAAGAAUAAGCACCGGCUAACUACGUGCCAGCAGCCGCGGUAAUACGUAGGGUGCAAGCGUUAAUCGGAAUUACUGGGCGUAAAGCGUGCGCAGGCGGUUUUGUAAGACAGUGGUGAAAUCCCCGGGCUCAACCUGGGAACGGCCAUUGUGACUGCAAGGCUAGAGUGCGGCAGAGGGGGAUGGAAUUCCGCGUGUAGCAGUGAAAUGCGUAGAUAUGCGGAGGAACACCGAUGGCGAAGGCAAUCCCCUGGGCCUGCACUGACGCUCAUGCACGAAAGCGUGGGGAGCAAACAGGAUUAGAUACCCGGGUAGUCC